GAAUUUUCCGCAAUGGGCGAAAGCCUGACGGAGCAACGCCGCGUGAGGGAUGAAGGCCUCUGGGCUGUAAACCUCUUUUCUCAAGGAAGAAGAUCUGACGGUACUUGAGGAAUAAGCCACGGCUAAUUCCGUGCCAGCAGCCGCGGUAAUACGGGAGUGGCAAGCGUUAUCCGGAAUUAUUGGGCGUAAAGCGUCCGCAGGCGGCCCUUCAAGUCUGCUGUUAAAAAGUGGAGCUUAACUCCAUCAUGGCAGUGGAAACUGUUGGGCUUGAGUGUGGUAGGGGCAGAGGGAAUUCCCGGUGUAGCGGUGAAAUGCGUA
This 318-nucleotide ribosomal RNA is filed under the name uncultured cyanobacterium. RNAcentral describes it as "bacterial SSU rRNA". It matches the Rfam family "Bacterial small subunit ribosomal RNA", at positions 359 to 692 of the family's 1533-position model. Lineage: Bacteria; Bacillati; Cyanobacteriota. The record is from RNAcentral.